GAUGAAGAACGCAGCGAAAUGCGAUAAGUAGUGUGAAUUGCAGAAUUCAGUGAAUCAUCGAAUCUUUGAACGCACAUUGCGCCUCCUGGUAUUCCGGGAGGCAUGCCUGUUCGAGCGUCAUUAAAAUCACUCAAGCUUAGGUUUACCUAUUGCUUGGUCUUGGAGAUGGAAGCCAAUUUAUUGGAAUCCUCUUCGAAAUUCAAUGGCGAAGACCCUUGCUCUCCCAAGUGUAGUAAUAACUUAUGUCACUGAAGGAAGCGAGAAAUCUUCUGCCGUAACCCCCAUAUUUUCUAUGAUUGACCUCGGAUCAGGCAGGGAUACCCGCUGAACUUAAGCAUAUCAAUAAGCGGAGGA
RNAcentral lists this unclassified non-coding RNA (354 nucleotides) under soil metagenome. RNAcentral's name for it is "partial contains 5.8S ribosomal RNA, internal transcribed spacer 2, and large subunit ribosomal RNA". The stretch from base 1 to 120 matches the Rfam family "5.8S ribosomal RNA", at positions 35 to 154 of the family's 154-position model. The record is from RNAcentral.